Molecule: unclassified non-coding RNA, 148 nt
Organism: Macaca fascicularis (crab-eating macaque)
Lineage: Eukaryota; Metazoa; Chordata; Mammalia; Primates; Cercopithecidae
Rfam family: Metazoan signal recognition particle RNA
About the family: The signal recognition particle (SRP) is a universally conserved ribonucleoprotein. It is involved in the co-translational targeting of proteins to membranes. The eukaryotic SRP consists of a 300-nucleotide 7S RNA and six proteins: SRPs 72, 68, 54, 19, 14, and 9.
Source: Ensembl
GCUGGGCGUGGUGGCGCACACCUGUAAUCCCAGCUACUUGGGAGGCUGAGGCAAAAGAAUCUCUUGAACCCGGGAAGCGGAGGUUGCAGUGAGCUGAGAUAGUGCCACUGCACUCCAGCCUGGGUGACAGAGUGAGAAUGUGUCUCAG